UGGCCUUUAUGGUGGCCACGCCCGCCCUCGCCUUCGUGCCUCGUCGGUCUUGACGGAAGCAUCGAUCGCGGUGUAGCAUGGAGAGCGCUCGGCUUGGACUGCCUGAUGAUCGGAAACCUCGUCGGGGCAUGCAAGGAGCUAGGCCUCGCGGGAGUAAUUGUCGUUGGAGAUCGGCGUUGGUGUAAGACCGUCGCGUUGCUCAUAUCAGCAUGGUCGGUGUGGCCGACGCCUUGUCCUGACCGGACGCCGAGUGCACGACAGCGAAGGAUGUAC
This 273-nucleotide long non-coding RNA is filed under the name Hordeum vulgare. Its description in RNAcentral is "long non-coding RNA (HVUL_LNC011105)". Lineage: Eukaryota; Viridiplantae; Streptophyta; Magnoliopsida; Poales; Poaceae. The record is from RNAcentral.